GGUUCCGUGGUCUAGUUGGUUAUGCUCGUUAACACCGAGAAGGUCCCCGGUUCGAUCCCGGGCGGAACCA
Molecule: transfer RNA, 70 nt
Filed under: Fusarium proliferatum
Lineage: Eukaryota; Fungi; Ascomycota; Sordariomycetes; Hypocreales; Nectriaceae
Rfam family: tRNA
About the family: Transfer RNA (tRNA) molecules are approximately 80 nucleotides in length. Their secondary structure includes four short double-helical elements and three loops (D, anti-codon, and T loops).
Source: RNAcentral